Molecule: ribosomal RNA, 429 nt
Filed under: uncultured archaeon
Lineage: Archaea
Description: bacterial SSU rRNA
Rfam family: Archaeal small subunit ribosomal RNA
Source: RNAcentral
UACCAGCUCUCCGUGUGGUAGGGAUGAUUAUUGGGCUUAAAGCGUCCGUAGCCGGCUUAGCAAGUUUCCUGUUAAACUCAGCGACCUAAUCGUUGAGCCGCGGGAAAUACUACUAGGCUAGGAGGCGGGAGAGGUCGACGGUACUUCUGGGGUAGGGGUGAAAUCCUAUAAUCCCGGGAGGACCACCAGUGGCGAAGGCUGUCGACUAGAACGCGCUCGACGGUGAGGGACGAAAGCUGGGGGAGCGAACCGGAUUAGAUACCCGGGUAGUCCCAGCUGUAAACGAUGCGGGCUAGGUGUUGGGGUGGCUACGUGCCACUUCAGUGCCGCAGGGAAGCCAUUAAGCCCGCCGCCUGGGGAGUACGGCCGCAAGGCUGAAACUUAAAGGAAUUGGCGGGGGAGCACCACAAGGCGUGAAGCUUGCGGUUC